This is a non-coding RNA of Ictidomys tridecemlineatus (thirteen-lined ground squirrel), 2486 nucleotides long. NCBI's taxonomy places the organism in Eukaryota, Metazoa, Chordata, Mammalia, Rodentia, Sciuridae. The record is from RefSeq and is a predicted model, not a curated record.
UGUCACUAAUGUGGAAAUUCCCCACCCCUGUCUGGGUUGAAUAAUGGCCAUUGUCAAAGGAAAAUGUGGAGCUGCAGAGGCCCUUAUUCAAGAACACCUACAACUGGGACAUAUUGAACCUUCUACUAGCCCUUGGAAUAUGCCUGUUUUUGUUAUAAAAAUGAAGUCAAGAAAAUGGAGAUUAUUACAAGAUUUAAGAGAAAUUAAUACAUGUAUAAACCCAUGGGUCUGCUUCAAUGUGGAUCACCAAACACAAAUUUAAUUCCUCAGGAUUUUUCUUUAUAUGUCAUUGACUUAAAAGAAUCUUUUAAAACUGUUCCUUCAAGGUCAUUGUACUGUCAUGUGUAACUAAUCAAAACAAAUAAAAAAAAAUUUUUUAAAGUUCCUCUUUCCUGAUGAUCAGAAAAAAAUUUGCUUUUACUGUCCUCAUUUUUAACCAUCCUAAGACUACUAAUAUAUUGCAUUGGAAACUUAUGCCAUAAGGAAUGCUAAAUAGCCCAAUAUUAUAUCAAUAUUUUGUUAAUAAAGCCUUGUUCUUUUUUGGUCAUAAAUUUUCUCAUUUAUUUAUUUAUCAUUGUAUGGAUGAUAUGUUGCUUACAGGAUGAAACAUCACAGAUGAAAUUCUACAAACAUUAGGGGAAGUGUUAUUACAAUCAGGACUCUAUGUUGUAACAGAAAAAAAUUCAACCUUACCUCUCUAUCAGUUGUUAAAGAAAUAACACUAUACUGCCUUUUUCAAGCUCUACAAAAAAUUAACAGAAAUUUGGUGCGAGUAAUGGUGAGUCAACCUCCUUUAUCUAAUGUGCCAUUAUCAUUGGUAAUUUUUGUAGGAAAACUUUAUGUCUUUAGAGCAGUAAUUGCUAUUUAUAAUCAAAGAUUGUAUAUAUCAAUAUGGUUACACUUUCCUCAUUUUUUAGGCUAGAAUGUUCUGCUUUUGUUGAUAAAUCUGCAUAAUUAACUGCUGAUGGUUGCACUAAAAUUUUAUCUUUCACAGGCAUAGACAUUCAUGUUUUAUAUCUCACUUAUGGAAAAAUUCUACUUCUCCAGUGCUUAAGAUUUUUUUCCUACUAUCAAGUUGUAUUUUUUUAGCACCUAUUUCUUUUCACAUAUCUCAUGAUGGGUGAGUCUCUUUCCUAUGUCAGGUUACACACUCCCCCUCUUUCUUGAUCUCUACCCUUCUUCUUGUAGCUGGGUUGAUGUUGUAUACAGAUGGAGGUAAACAAAGUGGAUAGUAUCUGUUUUUAUUAAUGAUAAAUUCCUGGACCUCGGAUGGAAGGUAACACACAGAUGCAGCUGUGAGAUCCCUUUAUACUUUAUUUUCAGAUGCUGUAGAAUCUCAGGAAUGUUUUCAUCAAAAUUCUUGCUCACUAAUGAAGGUGUUUUCCAUUUUUUUCCCAACAGACUGUGCCACUGUCAGUAACUGUUCUCACUGUAUGCCCUUCUGGGACCCCAUAUGGGAAUCUGUAAAUUCAUGAGGGCCUACAGUCUAAUGCACUUUAGGAAAUGAACAUUAUCCAUUUCUUUUCCUUUCAUCCUUUUCCCUUUCUCCAUGUUUCCAUUAAGACUCAUUCUGGGCUCAUUAGGGCUAGUGCCCAUAGAUCUAAAAAGGUACCUGCUUGCAUUUCUUAUUUAUUACUCUGCUUUGCCACUAUGGACAAACCAACUCAUUUAAAAAAUGUAUUCAUUUUUAAAACAUUUGCCCCUUCACAUAUGUCCUAUGCUUUUGCAUAAUUUUGUACUCAUUGGCGACUGUCACAGCUUACAAAGAAAGAAAGAAAUUGGCCUGUGAUGUGGUGAAAAAUACGAAUUACAACUCUAUGGAAAUCAAUAUGCUAAAUGAAGAACAAAAAAAUCAUUUGGUCAUUCUUCACAAUUGGGCUGCAAUUGAUUAUUAUUACAUUAUAAAGUUUGUAAUGAUCUUAACAAUAUGUCUUGCUUUAUUUUAAGGGACAAUAGUCACUCCAUUUCAGAUGAGUUAUAUUACCUUAUAGAUAUCAUUAAAAAGAUCUAACAGAAUUAUGGAAGUUCAGAUAUAUUGGAUUGCUUAACCGUGUGGUUAACCAAUCUUACUUGGAUUAAACAACUUGUCAUUGGUGAGUGUCUACAGAGAUUGUUGUUUUGUUUUUGAUGUUGUUGAAGCCUACCCUAAUUUUUCCUCCACCAAUAUUGAAAAACAAAACAAAACAGAAAAUAAACCCCAAACAUCAUCCAUCCAAAAGGCCACACAAACUAAAAAACAAGAAGCUAUAAGUGUGUGCUGUGGAAAUGUACUAAACAGCAAGUGUCUCUGUGAGAAAACUCCUGGAGAAUAAGAGGUGUCUUGUUUCCCACAGCUGGAACAUUCUGCAGUUUCUCCCAGACACGAUUACAAUAACUAAUGCAUGCUCAACCAGAACACCUAAUGUACUAAUGGUGCAGUGAACUACUGUAACCUAAUGGUAUAAAUAAAGACAGCUGCUUAGACAAGCAGCCAUUUUGCCUCUGCA